This 397-nucleotide ribosomal RNA is filed under the name uncultured Latescibacterota bacterium. RNAcentral describes it as "bacterial SSU rRNA". It matches the Rfam family "Bacterial small subunit ribosomal RNA", at positions 988 to 1382 of the family's 1533-position model. Lineage: Bacteria; Pseudomonadati; Candidatus Latescibacterota. The record is from RNAcentral.
GCAGGUGAUCGCCGUUUGAAAGACGGUUUUCCUCUUCGGAGGCACCUGCACAGGUGCUGCAUGGCUGUCGUCAGCUCGUGUCGUGAGAUGUUGGGUUAAGUCCCGCAACGAGCGCAACCCUUUAUCCCCAGUUGCCAUCAGGUAAAGCUGGGAACUCUGGGGAGACUGCCGGUGAUAAACCGAGAAGGCGGGGAUGACGUCAAGUCCUCAUGGCCCUUACAUCCCGGGCUACACACGUGCUACAAUGGCAGGUACAGAGGGCUGCGAAGCCGCGAGGUGGAGCGAAUCCCAGAAAACCUGUCUCAGUCCGGAUUGAAGUCUGCAACUCGACUUCAUGAAGGCGGAAUCGCUAGUAACCGCGAAUCAGCAGGUCGCGGUGAAUACGUUCCCGGGCCUU